Molecule: ribosomal RNA, 500 nt
Filed under: uncultured bacterium
Lineage: Bacteria
Description: partial 16S ribosomal RNA
Rfam family: Bacterial small subunit ribosomal RNA
Source: RNAcentral
AUUGAACGCUGGCGGAAUGCUUUACACAUGCAAGUCGAACGGCAGCACGGGCUUUGGUCUGGUGGCGAGUGGCGAACGGGUGAGUAAUACAUCGGAACGUGCCCAAUCGUGGGGGAUAACGUAGCGAAAGCUACGCCAAUACCGCAUACGAUCUAAGGAUGAAAGCGGGGGAUCGCAAGACCUCGCGCGAUUGGAGCGGCCGAUGGCAGAUUAGGUAGUUGGUAGGGUAAAGGCCUACCAAGCCGACGAUCUGUAGCUGGUCUGAGAGGAUGAUCAGCCACACUGGGACUGAGACACGGCCCAGACUCCUACGGGAGGCAGCAAUGGGGAAUUUUGGACAAUGGACGCAAGUCUGAUCCAGCCAUUCCGCGUGCAGGAUGAAGGCCCUCGGGUUGUAAACUGCUUUUGUACAGAACGAAAAGGCUCUGGUUAAUACCUAGGGCUCAUGACGGUACUGUAAGAAUAAGCACCGGCUAACUACGUGCCAGCCGCCGUAAUAC